AACGAACGCUGGCGGCAGGCUUAACACAUGCAAGUCGAACGCGCCGUCCUCUAGGCGGACGGCGCAGAAAUCAGAAACCGGAAACCAGAAAUCAGAAGGAAACGUACGGCGUGAAUCGCCGUCAAUUCUUCUGGCUUCUGGCUUCUGGCCUCUGGCUUCUGCGCCGCCCGCGUAGUGGGCGGCGAGUGGCAGACGGGUGAGUAACACGU
Molecule: ribosomal RNA, 209 nt
Filed under: uncultured bacterium
Lineage: Bacteria
Description: partial 16S ribosomal RNA
Source: RNAcentral